Long non-coding RNA from Mus musculus (house mouse), 427 nucleotides. RefSeq annotates it as predicted gene, 31951. NCBI's taxonomy places the organism in Eukaryota, Metazoa, Chordata, Mammalia, Rodentia, Muridae. The record is from RefSeq and is a predicted model, not a curated record. The transcript is spliced from 2 exons.
CAUCAGGCUGAGUGAAGCUUCAAGUGCCCCCAUUAACCAGCCCUGAUUAAAUCAGCUGGGCUCCUCCUAGGGACGAACCAUGCAAACAGAGACCAAUGAUAAUAACUUGUCUCCAGGCUGCAGUCACUCCAACUGCCCAUGAGCAGAAAGAUGAUGCAAUGGAAUCUUGCAAAUUCCAGAAGCCAAGGCUGUAUCCCUGUCUCAUUCAGAAGGAGAAAAGGGCGGCUUCUUCUUCAAGCAGCCAACCACUCAGCCAGCCCUUGUCGGGCUCCUGCCGUGUACCAGGCUGCGCCAGGAUUCAGGAUGUCUGAGGACUUGAUGGAUCACCUGGGGUCAGAGGAGGGUAGCUUCCCUCACUCGGAUGUUGUCGGGCUGGGCCUCCUGCCAGAUGUUAGGCUCCCAGAAAGGAUGAGACCCAAGCCCAGUG